This 66-nucleotide transfer RNA is filed under the name Batracomorphus cornutus. RNAcentral describes it as "tRNA-Ser". The record is from RNAcentral. Lineage: Eukaryota; Metazoa; Arthropoda; Insecta; Hemiptera; Cicadellidae.
AGUUAUUUAGCUUAUAAUUAAAAAGCAUAUAUUUUGAAAAUAUAAGAAAGAGUAAUUUAAUAACUU